CCUACGGGUGGCAGCAGUGGGGAAUAUUGGACAAUGGGGGCAACCCUGAUCCAGCAAUGCCGCGUGUGUGAAGAAGGCCUUCGGGUUGUAAAGCACUUUUAGCAGGAAAGAAAGGUUGCGUGUUAAUACCGCGCAAUUUUGACGUUACUUGCAGAAAAAGCACCGGCUAACUCCGUGCCAGCAGCCGCGGUAAUACGGAGGGUGCAAGCGUUAAUCGGAAUUACUGGGCGUAAAGCGCGAGUUCGGAGGUGAAAUCCCCGAGCUCAACUUGGGAACUGCAUUCGAUACUGGCUCGCUAGAGUGUGGUAGAGGGAAGUGGAAUUCCAGGUGUAGCGGUGAAAUGCGUAGAUAUCUGGGGGAACAUCAGUGGCGAAGGCGGCUUCCUGGACCAACACUGACGCUGAGGCGCGAAAGCGUGGGGAGCAAACAGGAUUAGAUACCCUUGUAGUC
Molecule: ribosomal RNA, 450 nt
Filed under: uncultured bacterium
Lineage: Bacteria
Description: partial 16S ribosomal RNA
Rfam family: Bacterial small subunit ribosomal RNA
Source: RNAcentral